RNAcentral lists this ribosomal RNA (484 nucleotides) under uncultured bacterium. Its description in RNAcentral is "bacterial SSU rRNA". It matches the Rfam family "Bacterial small subunit ribosomal RNA", at positions 30 to 507 of the family's 1533-position model. The record is from RNAcentral.
AUUGAACGCUAGCGGGAUGCCUUACACAUGCAAGUCGAACGGCAGCGCGGACUUCGGUCUGGCGGCGAGUGGCGAACGGGUGAGUAAUGUAUCGGAACGUGCCCAGUAGCGGGGGACAACCACUCGAAAGAGUGGCUAAUACCGCAUACGCCCUACGGGGAAAGGGGGGGAUCGCAAGACCUCUCACUAUUGGAGCGGCCGAUAUCGGAUUAGCUAGUUGGUGGGGUAAAAGGCCUACCAAGGCGACGAUCCGUAGCUGGUUUGAGAGGACGACCAGCCACACUGGGACUGAGACACGGCCCAGACUCCUACGGGAGGCAGCAGUGGGGAAUUUUGGACAAUGGGGGAAACCCUGAUCCAGCCAUUCCGCGUGUGCGAUGAAGGCCUUCGGGUUGUAAAGCACUUUUGGCAGGAAAGAAAUCGUGUGGGUUAAUACCCUGCGCGGAUGACGGUACCUGCAGAAUAAGCACCGGCUAACUACGUG